AUUAAAAGACCAAAUGCUUAAUUUAUGAAUAACACCGAAUUUUGAUGCUGACUUCUUUGAGGAUGAUUGUUUUUGUCAGUGGACAGUUGGAAUAGAGCAGAAUACCCGUUCAAGACUGUCAUCAAAAACACAUAAAUGUUUCAUUCUAAUUUUAACCCUCUAUUUCAUCUAACCCUCUAUUUAAAGAAUUUCUGGAAGGAAAGAAGAUGUUAAAUUUUAGUUGUUUUUAGCAAGUAUCAUCUGAGUGUAUCAUAACAGAAUACACCUUCUAUAUGAUUAUCUUAAAUGUUACAAAUAAUUUACAUUUCUCUUAUGUUUUAUCAUAAUGCUAAUUUUAUGUGGCUGUCAUGCCAUUGAUUCUGCUGCUUAGCUACAUGGUUUAUAUUUAUUGUGCCAAAAUAUGUCAAAACCAAGACCUCUUUGUGUUGUGUAUUUGAGAGGAUGUUCAUCCUAGUGGCUAAUGAUGGCAUUACUCUGUCAACAUAGUGAAAACUUACCCUAGUUUUUACCUAUUAAAUUGUUUUUUGUUAUUUUCUUGGUGAUAUCAGCUGCCAGACUUUCAAGGCAUUCUAUUCUUUGAGCAACUCUUUACCUUGGUAUGAAUAUGAAUUUACUUGCAGUCCAUAUACGCUACUUUUCUGUACUAGAAUUAUAAAUUGUUUACCAUAAACAUCCAAAAACCUUAAAAUUGACUCAUGUGAAAUCAGCAUUAUG
This 714-nucleotide long non-coding RNA is filed under the name Bos taurus (domestic cattle). Its description in RNAcentral is "long non-coding RNA NONBTAT019244". Lineage: Eukaryota; Metazoa; Chordata; Mammalia; Artiodactyla; Bovidae. The record is from RNAcentral.